This 2213-nucleotide long non-coding RNA is filed under the name Homo sapiens (human). Its description in RNAcentral is "HSALNT0239867". Lineage: Eukaryota; Metazoa; Chordata; Mammalia; Primates; Hominidae. The record is from RNAcentral.
CCUUUUAAAAGAGCAUCUUUAUUAUUUCCCCAGGCCGAUCACAGCCCUGAACAAAAGCAUCCGAUACACAUUUGUCAGUCUGGUGGCUUUGGUGCCAUGACUGCCUACACAGGCUGAUGACAGCCACUCGGUUGUCACCAGACGCGGUGUGAGGGAAGGGGGAGGGGACAGGGGAACUCUCAGAGCAAACAAUCACAAACACACUGUGAAAUCGAAAAUAAAUUACAAAAACUAAAUAGUAUAAAUAAAUUAAAAUUUAAGUUAAGAAGAGUCCCACAGUGUGGCUGUUUGGCAACAACCAGUCCAUAGAAGAGGUAGCUGUGGAGGUCACACGCAUGUUCCCAAGGCUCAGGCUCCUGCUCCUCCCCACUGGGCCCACCGAGGUCGCUGGGCCUCGAAGCUUCUGGACCCCUCAGGCACUCAGCUCCAGGUCGCUGACAUAUUUCUGGACCCACUCCUCACUGGGGUCAGCACAGACCUGCCGGCUUCGCUUGGUUAGGAAGCUGUGGAGAAGGGAGGAAGAGUUAAGCACUGGGGAAUCCAGCAGGGGAAUCCUGGGCCCACCAUGGCCCCACCAUUCUGCUCUCUGUCCUGGGCAGCUCAGGGCUUGCUCCUCUUUCAGGGGCCCCCUGCCUAUCUCUGUCUAGAGAGCUUCUCUCAGUGACUCAGUAGGGGUGGCCCUCAGAGUGUCCCGCUGCCUCCUUCUUCCUGUCCCUUUCCUCUGGGCUGGGGCAGCCCUUCCUGACUCUGUAACACAUGCCUCACUCCAGCUCCAAGUCAGGUCACACCUCGGAGCCCUGCGUCCUGUAUCCCCGAUAGGCUCCUGAAGGCUGGGCCUUUCCAGGAUAGCCUUCUGGCCUGUCUCUGCCCCAACCCUGACCCUCCCUACCUCCAUAGAGGUGAGCAGGAAGACUGGCACUUACAUGACACCGGGCUUGGAGCACUGGCUGCUCGUCUCAAAGUAGUCAGCUAUGAAAUUCUGUGGAAUCUGCCGGGAGGUGUAGCUGAAGCAGCAGGCGGUCGGCGUGUCAGCAGCAACUGUGGAGAAAGGAAGAGAAUGAGCCCGAGUCACAGCUCAGAAGAAAAGGCCAGGCAGCUUCUGAUCCCCGAGCAGUUGAGGAAGGCAGGCUUGCUCAGACCAAGUGACUGGAAGGCAUUUGGGCAUUUUUGCUGAGAAAUGUCUCUUUGUUUCUGUCUGUAUCCUUCUUUCUCCUUGACUCUUCAUAGUGGGUUCUCUGUUUCUCUGUGUGAUCCAGAUACCUGAACGGACUGUUCUCUUAUCUCAGUUCUCUUCAGGGAAUUUUGUCUGGUUCAAGAAGUCAUACCCCAACCCAAGAGAAGCCUUGGACAUCUCUCAUAAGACAUCCAAGGGACAGAGCUCCUGGGAGACCUAGAGUGAGCUGGAGAGUGAACAACAUACCCCACUGGGAAGUAAGCAGCCCUGGAUUCUGCCUCUUGCUAACUGAUUCGUUUCGAACCCUGUUUUUCUAUCUGUAAAAGGGACUGUAACUCCCCUGCCCCUGCCUAGAUUCUCAUACCUGGAGACUAGGGGGCUAAGACCCCUUCUAGAGAUAAAAAUAAAAGUCUUAAAGAGAAAGACCAAGAUGUUUGGCAGCCCUUUAAGAAGUUCUCUUUUCUCUUGGGGGCUUUUAGGCCACAAGAAAAGAUUGAUGUGGUCUAACCAUGGCCAGAGAGUGGUGAUACCCACAACGAAACUCAGACUCACGUGAUGCAGAGAACUGGUUGCAGAGAGCCAUGGUGCAGAGGAGGACAGCAAGGGCAGCAGUGGAGACCUGCAUGAUUCUGAGCAGGUGACGGAAUGUGGGCUCGAGUGUCAGCAGAGCCAAGAAAGGACUGACCACUGUCUGCUGCCCGUGUCCUUCUGAAGUCUGAAACCAGCUCUCCUCUUUAUAGGCAGCCCUGGCGGAUGGGGAAAUGGAAUCUGGGGGUGAGGAGGGAAAUUUUUAAGCGUAGUGAUGCUGUCAUGCUAAGUUGCACAACUCAGGGUCCCUGGUGACCACAGGGGCUCAGGAUAUCCAAGAAUAGCAUCUUUGAGCUAUUCUCUAACUCUCAGCUCUCAACUCAUGACUUGUUAUAGUUUCAUAGGGAAAUGGUUUCUCCUGUGAGUGUGAAGAGGGGUAUAUGUCAACCCAAGGCUAUUCUUAGUCAGUCCCUUCUCAUAAGAACUGGUCUGUGCAUGAACUCUCCAGCCC